UGCCCCUCACUUGCCAAUACGUCUAGAUCAGCCAGGGCGUCGGCAUGUGUAGCGUAUUAUGUUGGGCUCUCUCGAGAUAAGGAUACGAUGUCCCUUUAUCGGUUGGUUUCCUGUGUGCGCGGCCCGUUCGUUUUUUUGUUACUUUCGCAUUGUUCGGUGCAUUCUGGGGGCUGUGUUGGCUUUUGGUGGCUUGUUUGGCCUUUUGGCUUUGCUUGUUGCUACUUGUCGGGCGGCCUUUGGGGAUGUCGACCGUGGAGGUGCAUGAGUGGUGUUUGGUUUGUUACGUGUGGAUGGCUGUUUGCUUGUGCAACAACGUUCACGCUGCAUACCUCUUCAGUUUUGCGGCAAGGCGGUUUGGCUUGUGCAUAUUGUGGGUUUCCUGUGUCGCAUACCUAGUUGAUGGAAAAGUGUGGGUUUUACGAUUUUCAUUUUCGUCUUGCGUCGUUCUUUCGGCGUGGGAUGAACAAUGAAGCGAUCUUUAUGAUCCAUCGUGCUGUUGCGUUUGCAACAAUGAUGUGGCCUAUGAAGCAUCGUUUGGUCUCUUGUAUACGGAAGCUCAUUUGGGCUUGGGUCUUUAUAAAAUCUUCGUUACGCCCUUGUUAAGCGUUCUCGCUUCUCCUAAACGAUUG
This 629-nucleotide unclassified non-coding RNA is filed under the name Centaurea toletana. RNAcentral describes it as "partial external transcribed spacer". Lineage: Eukaryota; Viridiplantae; Streptophyta; Magnoliopsida; Asterales; Asteraceae. The record is from RNAcentral.